UUUAGUGACACAGAAACAAAAUAAGCUUUUUUUAAAUGCUCCUCUGCCUCUUUAAUGUAAAUUAGCUAAGCAGGAGGACUCUGUGGAAACUUUACGUUAACAGCAAACUAUCUUGAAGUACAAAAAGAAAACAACCGCGGAACGUCGGAGGUUUGGAGUUGCUUGGAGUUCUUUUCUGGCGGUUACCGUCAUCUGAAGAAACUGGUCACUGCAACUCCAGCAGAUGCAGAGAGAAGCCUCUCUCUGCCCAGUACCCCAAGACUGAUUGCACUUGGUUCAUUCUGAGAAUAAACCCUGAUGACACCAAAUGCCUAAAUCACAAAAUCAAAAUCACAGAUCAGCCGGGCAUCUGGAAAAAGGGUGCAGAGAAAAAUCGCCAGCCUGAAUCCUCUUGUGACAUCUUUCAUCAGAGAGCUUGUUGAAUUCGAUUGGCCAAAUUAUUGAAAGAAAACACGACUAAAACAUGUUUUUACUGUUUGAUUUGUUCUGCUUUUCAGAAUGUUUUUCAGAAAUUUUUAGCCAUGUUACAAAUACACAGGAUGAAUUCAAACACAUUUGUAGAAUGUACUUUUUAAAGUAAAUGUUAAAUAAUGAAAUAGUUAAACAAUAAAACAGCACAUUUUAAUGACAAAUGUUCAUAAGAAUUUAUGCAUUUUUGGGGGAUUAAAAAAUGUAUAGUUUACAGCUAGUGGUUUUUCAUUCGUUAAACAUCAGUUACACCUGUUGUUAAUUUCAUUAAUUGGUUCGUCUUUUUAUACUCUGUGUUUGGUUUUGUUGCUUUGUUUUCUGAGUAUUUUCAGUUCUAUAUUAAAUAAAACUUUGACUGCUGCGAUUAGAUCAGUUUCAUCCAACUUUAUUGCAACCUUACCAGUGACAUGUAGAUUAAAAUUUUAUUAAUUUUGUAACAAUAAAGCAAAUGAAGCUAGACCCAAAUCUACAAAAAAAGUCUGAGUAAUAUGAAAUCAAUUCUA
Molecule: long non-coding RNA, 971 nt
Organism: Carassius auratus (goldfish)
Lineage: Eukaryota; Metazoa; Chordata; Actinopteri; Cypriniformes; Cyprinidae
Exons: 4
Source: RefSeq, a predicted model, not a curated record